GACGAACGCUGGCGGCGUGCUUAACACAUGCAAGUCGAACGGAAAGGCCCUGCUUUUGUGGGGUGCUCGAGUGGCGAACGGGUGAGUAACACGUGAGUAACCUGCCCUUGACUUUGGGAUAACGUCAGGAAACUGGGGCUAAUACCGGAUAGGAGCUCCUGCUGCAUGGUGGGGGUUGGAAAGUUUCGGCGGUUGGGGAUGGACUCGCGGCUUAUCAGCUUGUUGGUGGGGUAGUGGCUUACCAAGGCUUUGACGGGUAGCCGGCCUGAGAGGGUGACCGGCCACAUUGGGACUGAGAUACGGCCCAGACGCCUACGGGAGGCAGCAGUGGGGAAUAUUGCACAAUGGGCGGAAGCCUGAUGCAGCAACGCCGCGUGCGGGAUGACGGCCUUCGGGUUGUAAACCGCUUUCGCCUGUGACGAAGCGUGAGUGACGGUAAUGGGUAAAGAAGCACCGGCUAACUACGUG
RNAcentral lists this ribosomal RNA (468 nucleotides) under uncultured bacterium. RNAcentral describes it as "partial 16S ribosomal RNA". It matches the Rfam family "Bacterial small subunit ribosomal RNA", at positions 28 to 507 of the family's 1533-position model. The record is from RNAcentral.